Molecule: long non-coding RNA, 754 nt
Organism: Lotus japonicus
Lineage: Eukaryota; Viridiplantae; Streptophyta; Magnoliopsida; Fabales; Fabaceae
Exons: 3
Source: RefSeq, a predicted model, not a curated record
UAUAUAUUAAUUCACACAAGGUAAUUGACAUCGUGUUUUUGAGACUUCGGAAAAUGGAGAGUGGACGUGGUAGUGAGAAAAACAAUGACAAUCAAGGGAAGAGGAAGAUGGAAACCAACACAACAUUCUCAGAGAUUACAAAUCAAACUAUAGAAAAAAUUAAGCGAAGUCGUACUGGGUCAAGCUCAAUCAAGGCCCCCUUGUGCACUGCUCAUGACAUGACAUCACCAGGAUAUGAGUGGUUGCUCCCAGGCUGGGUCGCAGAAGAGCGACAUAUGCAAUCUGGCAGGGUCUAUAGGUACUUUUACGACCCUGAAGGGAAUUCCUAUAAGAGCAAGACCGAGGUUAAGGCUAUUUGGGAGAAGGCCGGAAUAAUUGUCCUUGAUGGCUGAAUUUGAAGGAUAUUCUUUGUGCUGUGCUUAUAUAAGAGAAUUCGAGCCUAUUGGAGAAAAGCAACAAUGUUUCAUUUUGAAAGCAAAUGGUGUAUUUUUUCCGUAGGUUUUUGGUUCUUUUGAGCAUGGUAACAAUUUAUAUGUGUUAUAUUUAUAUCUGUAGUACUUUUUCUAUGGAUGCGUUAAGCAUUUAUGUUUCAUUACUUGUCAAUUUGCUAUGCGGAUAUUUGGCAGUUGUGCUGAAUUUGAGCCUAUUGGAGAAAAGCAACAAUGUUUAAUUGCGAAAGCAAAUGGUGUAUUUUUUCCGUAGGUUUUUGAUUCUUUUGAGCAUGGUAACAAUAUAUAUGUGUGAUUAAUUUCUA